UAGGGAAUCUUCGGCAAUGGACGAAAGUCUGACCGAGCAACGCCGCGUGAGUGAAGAAGGUUUUCGGAUCGUAAAACUCUGUUGUUAGAGAAGAACAAGGACGUUAGUAACUGAACGUCCCCUGACGGUAUCUAACCAGAAAGCCACGGCUAACUACGUGCCAGCAGCCGCGGUAAUACGUAGGUGGCAAGCGUUGUCCGGAUUGAUUGGGCGUAAAGCGAGCGCAGGCGGUUUCUUAAGUCUGAUGUGAAAGCCCCCGGCUCAACCGGGGAGGGUCAUUGGAAACUGGGAGACUUGACUGCAGAAGAGGAGAGUGGAAUUCCAUGUGUAGCGGUGAAAUGCGUAGAUAUAUGGAGGAACACCAGUGGCGAAGGCGGCUCUCUGGUCUGUAACUGACGCUGAGGCUCGAAAGUGUGGGGAGCAAACAGG
This 429-nucleotide ribosomal RNA is filed under the name Gemmatimonadota bacterium. RNAcentral's name for it is "Gemmatimonadetes bacterium partial 16S ribosomal RNA". It matches the Rfam family "Bacterial small subunit ribosomal RNA", at positions 355 to 776 of the family's 1533-position model. The record is from RNAcentral. Lineage: Bacteria; Pseudomonadati; Gemmatimonadota.